UACGUAGGCAGCGAGCGUUGUUCGGAAUUACUGGGCGUAAAGAGUGUGUAGGCGGUGCUCUAAGUUCGGUGUGAAAUCUCCCGGCUUAACUGGGAGGGUGCGCCGGAAACUGGGGUGCUCGAGCGUGGGAGAGGAAAGCGGAAUUCCUGGUGUAGCGGUGAAAUGCGUAGAUAUCAGGAGGAACACCUGCGGUGUAGACGGCUUUCUGGACCAUUGCUGACGCUGAGACACGAAAGCGUGGGUAGCAAACAGG
RNAcentral lists this ribosomal RNA (253 nucleotides) under uncultured bacterium. RNAcentral describes it as "partial 16S ribosomal RNA". It matches the Rfam family "Bacterial small subunit ribosomal RNA", at positions 524 to 776 of the family's 1533-position model. The record is from RNAcentral.